GACGAACGCUGGCGGCGUGCUUAACACAUGCAAGUCGAACGGAAAGGCCCUGCUUUUGUGGGGUGCUCGAGUGGCGAACGGGUGAGUAACACGUGGGUAACCUGCCCUUGACUUUGGGAUAACUUCAGGAAACUGGGGCUAAUACCGGAUAGGAGCUCCUGCUGCAUGGUGGGGGUUGGAAAGUUUCGGCGGUUGGGGAUGGACUCGCGGCUUAUCAGCUUGUUGGUGGGGUAGUGGCUUACCAAGGCUUUGACGGGUAGCCGGCCUGAGAGGGUGACCGGCCACAUUGGGACUGAGAUACGGCCCAGACUCCUACGGGAGGCAGCAGUGGGGAAUAUUGCACAAUGGGCGGAAGCCUGAUGCAGCAACGCCGCGUGCGGGAUGACGGCCUUCGGGUUGUAAACCGCUUUCGCCUGUGACGAAGCGUGAGUGAUGGUAAUGGGUAAAGAAGCACCGGCUAACUACGUG
Molecule: ribosomal RNA, 468 nt
Filed under: uncultured bacterium
Lineage: Bacteria
Description: partial 16S ribosomal RNA
Rfam family: Bacterial small subunit ribosomal RNA
Source: RNAcentral